CCUACGGGGGGCAGCAGUGGGGAAUAUUGCACAAUGGGGGAAACCCUGAUGCAGCGACGCCGCGUGAGUGAAGAAGUAUUUCGGUACGUAAAGCUCUAUCAGCAGGGAAGAAAAACCGGCCUUAGGGCCGCCAGACGGUACCUGACUAAGAAGCCCCGGCUAACUACGUGCCAGCAGCCGCGGUAAUACGUAGGGGGCAAGCGUUAUCCGGAUUUACUGGGUGGAAAGGGAGCGUAGACGGCAGCGCAAGUCUGGAGUGAAAUGCCGGGGCCCAACCCCGGAACUGCUUUGGAAACUGUGCAGCUGGAGUGCAGGAGAGGUAAGCGGAAUUCCUAGUGUAGCGGUGAAAUGCGUAGAUAUUAGGAGGAACACCAGUGGCGAAGGCGGCCUGCUGGACGACAACUGACGGUGAGGCGCGAAAGCGUGGGGAGCAAACAGGAUUAGAUACCCUAGUAGUC
RNAcentral lists this ribosomal RNA (458 nucleotides) under uncultured bacterium. RNAcentral's name for it is "partial 16S ribosomal RNA". It matches the Rfam family "Bacterial small subunit ribosomal RNA", at positions 338 to 795 of the family's 1533-position model. The record is from RNAcentral.